RNAcentral lists this ribosomal RNA (510 nucleotides) under uncultured bacterium. RNAcentral describes it as "partial 16S ribosomal RNA". The stretch from base 55 to 510 matches the Rfam family "Bacterial small subunit ribosomal RNA", at positions 39 to 507 of the family's 1533-position model. The record is from RNAcentral.
GGGGGGGGGGGGGGGGGGGCGGGGCGCAGGCGGGGCGAACGAGGGGGGAGGGAGGCUGGCGUCUGUCAGUGUGAGGGGCGAGCGGGUGAGUAACGCGUAAUCAACCUGCGCUUCAGAGGGGGACAACAGUUGGAAACGACUGCUAAUACCGCAUACGAUCUAAUCUCGGCAUCGAGGGAAGAUGAAAGGUGGCCUCUAUUUAUAAGCUAUCACUGCAGGAGGUGAUUGCGUCUGAUUAGCUAGUUGGAGGGGUAACGGCGCACCAAGGCGAUGAUCAGUAGCCGGUCGGAGAGGAUGAGCGGCCACAUUGGGAGUGAGACACGGCCCAGACUCCUACGGGAGGCAGCAGUGGGGAAUCUUCCGCAAUGGACGGAAGUCUGACGGAGAAACGCCGCGUGAGGGCUGACGGCCGUCGCGUUGUAAAGCUCUGUUAAUCGGGACGAAAGGCCUUCUUGCGAACAGUUAGAAGGAUUGACGGUACCGGAAGAGAAAGCCACGGCUAACUACGUG